Molecule: long non-coding RNA, 351 nt
Filed under: Lonchura striata (white-rumped munia)
Lineage: Eukaryota; Metazoa; Chordata; Aves; Passeriformes; Estrildidae
Description: domestica (Bengalese finch) lncRNA (ENSLSDG00000004788.1)
Source: RNAcentral
CUUCUUCAUCUCACUUUCUCCUUUUCUUCUUGCUAUUUUUCCUCCUCUCUCCUCUUCUUCUUUGCACUCGCUCCUCCUCUCUACUCUUCUUUUUCUCGCUUGCUUCUUUUCCUCCUUUCUCCUCUUCUUCUCACUCCUCACACUCUCUUCAUCUCUCUCUCCUUUUUUUCUCACUCUCUCCUCUUCCUCCACUCUCCUCUUCUUCCUCUCACUCUCUUCUCUCACUCUCCUUCUCCUCACUUGCUUCUCUUCCUCCAAUCUCCUCUUCUUCUCACUCCCUGCUCUUCUUCUCACUCUCUCCUCUUCCUCCUCUCUCACUCUCCUUCCUCUCACUCCUCUUCCUCCUCUCUU